RNAcentral lists this ribosomal RNA (833 nucleotides) under uncultured Bacillota bacterium. RNAcentral describes it as "bacterial SSU rRNA". It matches the Rfam family "Bacterial small subunit ribosomal RNA", at positions 16 to 826 of the family's 1533-position model. The record is from RNAcentral. Lineage: Bacteria; Bacillati; Bacillota.
AUCAUGGCUCAGGAUGAACGCUGGCGGCGUGCCUAAUACAUGCAAGUCGAACGCACGACAUUGGAAGCUUGCUUCUAAUGAAGUGAGUGGCGAACGGGUGAGUAAUACAUAAAUAAUCUGCCCUAAUGACUGGGAUAACUUCUGGAAACGGAAGCUAAUACUGGAUGUAAUAUGAUUUGGUAGCAAUUGAUAUGAAAAGGAUGGGCAAUACGACCAUCGCAUUAGGAUGAGUUUAUGGUGCAUUAGCUAGUUGGUGGGGUAAGGGCCUACCAAGGCGAUGAUGCAUAGCCGACCUGAGAGGGUGACCGGCCACACUGGGACUGAGACACGGCCCAGACUCCUACGGGAGGCAGCAGUAGGGAAUUUUCGGCAAUGGAGGGAACUCUGACCGAGCGACGCCGCGUGAGUGAAGACGGCCUUCGGGUUGUAAAGCUCUGUUAUCAGGGAAGAAUGCUCAUGACAGGAAAUGGUCAUGGGGUGACGGUACCUGAUCAGAAAGUCACGGCUAACUACGUGCCAGCAGCCGCGGUAAUACGUAGGUGACAAGCGUUAUCCGGAAUUAUUGGGCGUAAAGGGUGCGUAGGCGGCUAAUUAAGUACAAGGUUAAAGUUCAGAGCUCAACUCUGUGAUGCCUUGUAAACUGGUUGGCUAGAGUACAGGAGAGGUGAGUGGAAUUCCAUGUGUAGCGGUAAAAUGCGUAGAGAUAUGGAGGAACACCAGUGGCGAAGGCGGCUCACUGGCCUGUAACUGACGCUGAGGCACGAAAGCGUGGGGAGCAAAUAGGAUUAGAUACCCUAGUAGUCCACGCCGUAACGAUGAAUACUAAGUGUUGG